UAUCUCAACUGCCAAAAAUGAGACAGUGUGAAGAACAGAAACCAAUGCAAUGAGCAGCUUCGAUGUUUCCCGUGAUGGCCUGUCUGAGAGCAGAAAGAUGAAAGUUACUCUCCUGAGCCCUGCAAGUACAAGGCUGUCCCAAAUCCUUCCUGAUAAGCAUCAAACGGAGACAACCAGCUACAAGAAAUUCCUCCAGCAACAGAAUAAAUAUUGGCACGCCAAGAAAUAAUCUACUGAUGGGGACAGAGGCUCUGAAAAUCAUCCUGUGACUAGUCAAUCCCAAGUUCAGCGGCAAAUCCUCAUCUUGACACAAUCAGGAAGAUGUCAAAGACACUGGGACACAGGCAAGCACAGAGGAAAUGCCAUGUGGAGACUCAGUGAGAAGAUAGCCGUCUAUAAGCCAAGGAGAGAGACCUCAGGAGAAACAACCCUGUCCACAUCUUGAUCUUGGACUUCAGCCUCCAGAUGUCUCAUGAGACCCAGGACCACAAGGCCCCAUGCCACCAGAGCCCAGCGAUCAAGGGGCAUCCCCUGGGCAGGAGCUGCCAAGACCGGGGACACCAGAUGCUUGUAAAUCUCCCCUCCGGAAGGUAGUAGCACCUUGCAGCCUGGCAGCGGGAAGAGCGGGGGAAGAUAGCGCCCGCCCACCGGGACUCUGGAGCGGAUUACAGGCAGCCCCCUAGACGCGUCUUCAAUCAGAAGCCUCUCCAACAGGCUGCAGCUGCGAUCGGAAGCAAACAGGCCUCCUUCCCAGGAAGACUGAGCUCCUGAGUCUGUUGCUUCUUGUCGUGCCGGCGGACGUGGUGGCUGUUUCAGAACCCUUUUGGGGUUGGCUCUAGCUCUUGGGGACCCACGAGCCUAAGCCCCCUCCCCUGCCACCGGGCGUGUGUAUAAGGAAAGAAAGAAGAAAAGGAAAGGAAACAACACCGGAGGAGGAACCCUGGCGCCCCCAGGAGCAAGGAGCAGGGAAGCGUGAAGGUGGCACCUGCUAGGCCUCCACCUCGGGGAGCGUCCAGCAGGCUCCCUGGCGGGUGCGGACGAAUCCGAUGUCCUGCCCGCGGGCCGAGGCCCCACAGCCGCACCCGCCUCUCCUGCCGUGGCC
Long non-coding RNA from Acinonyx jubatus (cheetah), 1102 nucleotides. RefSeq lists it as uncharacterized. The record is from RefSeq and is a predicted model, not a curated record. Lineage: Eukaryota; Metazoa; Chordata; Mammalia; Carnivora; Felidae. The transcript is spliced from 3 exons.